AAACUGAAGAGUUUGAUCCUGGCUCAGAUUGAACGCUGGCGGCAUGCCUUACACAUGCAAGUCGAACGGCAGCACGGGAGCUUGCUCCUGGUGGCGAGUGGCGAACGGGUGAGUAAUAUAUCGGAACGUACCCUAGAGUGGGGGAUAACGUAGCGAAAGUUACGCUAAUACCGCAUACGAUCUAAGGAUGAAAGUGGGGGAUCGCAAGACCUCAUGCUCCUGGAGCGGCCGAUAUCUGAUUAGCUAGUUGGUAGGGUAAAGGCCUACCAAGGCAUCGAUCAGUAGCUGGUCUGAGAGGACGACCAGCCACACUGGAACUGAGACACGGUCCAGACUCCUACGGGAGGCAGCAGUGGGGAAUUUUGGACAAUGGGCGAAAGCCUGAUCCAGCAAUGCCGCGUGAGUGAAGAAGGCCUUCGGGUUGUAAAGCUCUUUUGUCAGGGAAGAAACGGUUCUGGCUAAUACCUGGGGCUAAUGACGGUACCUGAAGAAUAAGCACCGGCUAACUACGUGCCAGCAGCCGCGGUAAUACGUAGGGUGCAAGCGUUAAUCGGAAUUACUGGGCGUAAAGCGUGCGCAGGCGGUUUUGUAAGUCUGUCGUGAAAUCCCCGGGCUCAACCUGGGAAUUGCGAUGGAGACUGCAAGGCUAGAGUUUGGCAGAGGGGGGUAGAAUUCCACGUGUAGCAGUGAAAUGCGUAGAUAUGUGGAGGAAUACCGAUGGCGAAGGCAGCCCCCUGGGAUAACACUGACGCUCAUGCACGAAAGCGUGGGGAGCAAACAGGAUUAGAUACCCUGGUAGUCCACGCCCUAAACGAUGUCAACUGGUUGU
Molecule: ribosomal RNA, 829 nt
Filed under: Dechloromonas sp.
Lineage: Bacteria; Pseudomonadati; Pseudomonadota; Betaproteobacteria; Rhodocyclales; Azonexaceae
Description: bacterial SSU rRNA
Rfam family: Bacterial small subunit ribosomal RNA
Source: RNAcentral